UACGUAGGGCGCAAGCGUUGUCCGGAAUUAUUGGGCGUAAAGAGCUCGUAGGCGGCCUGUCGCGUCCGCUGUGAAAGCCCGGGGCUUAACCCCGGGUCGGCAGUGGAUACGGGCAGGCUAGAGGUAGGUAGGGGAGAAUGGAAUUCCCGGUGUAGCGGUGAAAUGCGCAGAUAUCGGGAGGAACACCGGUGGCGAAGGCGGUUCUCUGGGCCUUACCUGACGCUGAGGAGCGAAAGCGUGGGGAGCGAACAGG
RNAcentral lists this ribosomal RNA (253 nucleotides) under uncultured bacterium. Its description in RNAcentral is "partial 16S ribosomal RNA". It matches the Rfam family "Bacterial small subunit ribosomal RNA", at positions 524 to 776 of the family's 1533-position model. The record is from RNAcentral.